AUCGAGUCACACGUGCCAUCACUCACAUGAUUGGCUUGUUGGGCACCUAUGACUAGCAGGUACCACCGCCCAGACUAGCGGUACACAUUGCCCACUUCCGAUGUGGGACUAAUGGGAUGUUACAAUAUCCCCAACUCAAUUAGCUUGACGUCCUGUGCAUGUGAGGAUUAACUCAAUGGUGGCUCCACGCCGUGAUGAAUUUUCCGACUCCAUCCAUGGGUAGCCCUUUCCUACUCGAGCCCUCUCACCCUGCCCAAAUGCUAGGUCGGCUCUGAUACCAAAUGUCACGACCUGAGUCUGAUGAGCUAACUGGCCAAUAACUCCAUUUUGGUCCUUCAACCACGGACCAAAA
This 352-nucleotide long non-coding RNA is filed under the name Musa acuminata (dwarf banana). RNAcentral's name for it is "long non-coding RNA (MACU_LNC000636)". The record is from RNAcentral. Lineage: Eukaryota; Viridiplantae; Streptophyta; Magnoliopsida; Zingiberales; Musaceae.